GGCGAACGCUGGCGGCGUGCUUAACACAUGCAAGUCGAACGGAAAGGCCCUGCUUUUGUGGGGUGCGCGAGUGGCGAACGGGUGAGUAACACGUGAGUAACCUGCCCUUGACUUUGGGAUAACUUCAGGAAACUGGGGCUAAUACCGGAUAGGAGCUCCUGCUGCAUGGUGGGGGUUGGAAAGUUUCGGCGGUUGGGGAUGGACUCGCGGCUUAUCAGCUUGUUGGUGGGGUAGUGGCUUACCAAGGCUUUGACGGGUAGCCGGCCUGGGAGGGUGACCGGCCACAUUGGGACUGAGGUACGGCGCAGACUCCUACGGGAGGCAGCAGUGGGGAAUAUUGCACAAUGGGACGAAGCCUGAUGCAGCAACGCCGCGUGCGGGAUGACGGCCUUCGGGUUGUAAAACGCUUUCGCCUGUGACGCAGCGUGAGUGACGGUAAUGGGUAAAGAAGCACCGGCUAACUACGUG
RNAcentral lists this ribosomal RNA (468 nucleotides) under uncultured bacterium. RNAcentral's name for it is "partial 16S ribosomal RNA". It matches the Rfam family "Bacterial small subunit ribosomal RNA", at positions 28 to 507 of the family's 1533-position model. The record is from RNAcentral.